AGUGGCCCCGAAUGGCUUUUCUCUCCGUACCUCAGGUUUCUGAAGAGCAAAACUUUACGAAAGGUAGUGGUGCCCUCCACGUUUCUGAAGUACGUGCACAGUUGGGCGUGCUUUGGUUUGGACUUUUAAAUGCAGCAUGUAGUAACUUUUUGGCUAUUUUGUACGUGUGCCUUAUUUAAAAACCAAAAGCAAUCAGAGAUAAAGUAUCUGCAGUUCCCCAGGAAGACUUCCACAGCUCAGACACUUCAUUGGUUAUUCCUGCUGCUGGGAAUGUGGUGGCGCUGACCAUUUACAGUAUCGUUGCAGGGUAAGAUUGGCCUAGGAAUGAAUUGCUUCCAAUGUGUGCGGUCUUAUUAAUACAAACAGUAUCUUAAUGCAAACUCUUCAAACAGAUGGGAGCUAUUAUGCAGACUUUAAAAUUAAAUGGCUCUUCCCAAGACCACAUCUGAGCCAAUCUGAUGUCCUAGCUCUUCCCAAACUGCUGCUUUGCAGUAAGAGCGAGAGGAGUGUGGAGUGUGAGCACAUUUGUGCUCUAAAGGAAGCUGCUCUGAGUUCCCCCAUGUUUAGCCUGAGGAACACUUGUCUGAGUAAUUAAGUGCCCGCCAAGGAAAGACAGGGUUUAUGCUUGGGUGUUCGAAGAACUGAAGUCGGGAUUUGACACUCCCCCCCCAUGCUAAGACCUCAUGAGCAGAGAUGGCUCAAAUUUUAAGUCUCUAGAAAGUACACAGAUACACUAAUGAGUAGGAAAUACCUUCGGAGGUUAAAGUUAGGGACCGGAAUGGGGCACAAAGUGAAAUGUGAAUGAAAACCUGUGCUUGUUUAGAAAAAGUUGUUCUCCUAAACAUCUCUAGGGAAGUGUGCACUGUACUGGUUUAAGUUCUCUUUGUGUGUGUGUGUGUGUGUGUGUGUACUGAUACAUUUUGCUUUCUAAUUUUUGGUUCUACAGCCUUUCAGACGUUGUUCCUGGAGGCUGUUAGUGAAGGCUCUUGCUCUGCAUUUGUGUGCGUGUGUAUAUGUACAUAGCAUAAAUAAAUGGCCAAAAGAACACCCAUACAGAGAAUGUGAUGUGUUUUUGUUGGUAGGUUUUGCCUUUGGUGUCCAGCAGCUUCAUCCAGCUCUCAUACAGAGACCUUUCGGGGAUCGUUUACAGUUAAGAUAACUGAUCAGAAGGAUAUGAUGAUAAGAGGUGGAAUAGUUCUGUUUGGAAUUAAACUCUGUAACCAGUAGACUCAAACACAAACAAGCUAAAAUGGUGAUUAACGAUGCAUGUAUGUUUUUCUUCAUAUAGUCAAUAGACCUCGGUGUGCUUUUUUUUAUUUAUUACAGUAAUGAAGUGGUGUUGAUAGCUAAACUGUGUGCUUUUAUUUAUUUGAAAGAGCUGUAGUGAAAGUUUUUUGGGGGGGGUCUUUUUAAUUUUGGUUUUGUUGUUGAGGAGUGACUUUGCCAUGGGGAGCAAAGGGCCUUUUUUUUUUUCCUUGCUUUCAAGCUGUAGCCUGUGACUUUUUUUAACCAUAUUUUGUAGUGAGUGCUAAAUUGUGUGACUUCUUGAUUUUUAAGUAAAUCAACGUAUUGCUUGCAUGUUCAUAAUUUUUGGGGGGCUUUGUUCUCGGGAGGGGUGUGGAGCUCCCUAUUAACGAUGUGCGUCCAUUUGGGCUUCCUAAUUUGAAGAGUUUUUCCUUCAAUCCUUCUUUAAUAUCUAGCGCAUUUCUCCUGUACUUGAAUUUACUAUUCCUAAGUAGAUCUAACUCUUGCUUCCUAUAGGCAUAUAAUUAGGAGGUGAAGUCUGCAUUAAGUUUUCCAUAGAGUGUCACUUCACUAAUGCACACUGACUGAGAAACCCAUUGCAAAAUAGUGCAUUUUGCUAAGCUAACAAUAAAAUAGGGAAACUUUGUCACAAAUGUUUAUUUGUUUAGAUUAUCUUACCUAUCCGUUAUUAAGCACCAAUAGCUUAUCGAUAGUUUGAUCUGUCAAAAUGGUGGGAACCGGUGCCUAUCCUGAAAACCACAGGAAAAAGUUUUCUUAGAAAUUUCAUGUAAUUUUAAAGGAGAGCGUUGAUUCUUCUGAGAGUGGGGAGACUGUAACAAACUUUGUCUUUUUUUUUUCCUUCUCAUGAUUAUCCUCUACUAUAUUUUGCUCACUUCUUUGAAGUGUGAGGAGGUGACAAUGUGUAUGCCAUGAUCAGUUUAUGAUGCCUGUGCUAAGGUAGGCAGGAGGCAGAACGCCUUGUCUCCAGAGCAGUUAAAGUACUUGUUGCAAAGAGGAACAAAUGGAUUGCACAGGGAUCAGCUGUGAAGAGACUGAGUAUUUGCUGAGCACAACAGAAAAGGAGGACCUGUGGCAGUCCGUUGCUUAAAGGACUAUGCAAAUAUAGGGCUCUUUUCUUGCUUUACAUACCCAGAUCAUGUAAACCAUGUGUAGGCCAGGGAAAUCCUUCCAGCAGAAUGAAUAGGGUUUUAUUUCUAAUGCACUGGGCAUAAGUCUGGAGAAAUGUUGGUCAUAGGGUCAUGUAUAUAUGAAAUUGGUCAUUUUUGAUCCUUGGCUCUUGCCUUUCUUUUAUGAUGUGCAAACGACGGAGAUUACUAAUCCUGCUUCCGUCUCAGAAUUUCCAGUGACCUGGUACCUUUUCUAAAGUAUGUAGUUGAGAUUAAGAACAGCAUUCACUAGGAUGAAUGAACAUCUUCAUUCACAAUAUUCCAUGACAGUAAGAGGGGAUGUUUCAGUGCUUACUCGAAUCUACUUCUGUUAAGAGUUCACUCUUAGAGCUUUCUAUAUGGGUUGCACUGAAAUACAGCCUGAAGGCCUUUCUUUGCACAGUUUCACUUUUUAAGUACACUUUACUAAUACGCUGCGUAAAAUUGGUUGUAGUGGUGAUUCACUAUCAAUACUCUGCUAAUCCAUACACAAAAGCUUCAAAUGUUUCGUGGUUGUGUUUUGUUUUGUUGGCUCUUUUCCUAGCAGAGUGCAAAUUAGGAAGGUACUGCUGCAUUUUGGUAUGGUCAGCAGUGUUGUAGAAUCAUAGAAUCAUAGAAUGGCCUGGGUUGGAAGGGACUUUAAAGAUUGUUUAGUUCCAACCCCGUUGCUGUGGACAGGGACACCUUUCACUAGACCUUAUUGCUCCAUCUGGCUGGGCCUUGAAUACAUCCAGGGAUUGAGCAUCCACAGCAUAUGCUUUCCCAGCUAUCAAAUAAAAACCUGAAAAUAAUCGGAUUACGUUAUGUUGCUUUUACCUGAGAAAAUGCAGAAGUUCAAUAUUCUGACUUAAGUACAGCAUUAUUGUGGUGGAAGGAGACAGAAACUAGAUUAGGUUCAAUGCAUGACGCACUUUGAAAAGUCAGGGAACUUUUCUUUAUUCAGUGCUGAGGAGGUCAGUUCAUCCACCAAAUAACAUUUCUUCCUACUUUUUGCAUUCAGCAUCUGUCUUACUGUUGGUGUGUUUCAUAAAGCUGUUUGAUCACAGGACUGGUUAUUUAUAAAGCUUUGUUUUCAGGAUUGUUUGUUAAAGUAUUAUCUCUGAAUUCAACAGGAAUUUAUGGAGGGGGAAGAUGACUUUGCUUCCUAAGAUAGCUUUUCUUGGUUUGCUUAUGGAAUUUCUAUUUUCAUAUUGGUGGGAAAAUUUGGGGUUAUACAGAGGUAUUGGUGCAGGACAUAACUGUUGUAGAGAUUUUCUGUUCCUUUCCUUCCUGUCUAAAACUUGUGCUUUGAUCAAAAUGAAAACAUUCCCACUGUUUUCGGUGAGACCAGAGUUAAAUCCAAAAUUACUAAGUUAAUUAUCAAAUGGUUAGCUGAUACUACCUGUCUGAUAUUCCAAGAGUUAGGCAGUUCUACCUUUUAAAGAUAGAAGGAAAAGCCCCCUCUUGAGUUUGUGAUCAAACGACUUGUAUAAUACUAGACUUAGGAUAAUCUGAAAAGAGGGAAUGAAGCCAGAACAGUCAAAAGUUAGCCUGCUAUGUCCUCCUUAUGGUUAUCAGAGAAAAGGAAGCAUAGUAAGGGUCUUGUAUGUCUUAAUAUUUAGGUAACCUACUUUUGUUAAAAGGAAAGCUGUUCGUUGCUGAAAAUCUUCUCUUUAAUUAUGCCUUCAAAACCAGACAAUGCCAUACCAGGGCCAAAGCAAAACAUUUUGUUCAAAGUUAAAUAUAUACUUUCACAAGAAUGUAAUACUGUGAGUCAAAGAUGUGCUACUACUGCUGAAUUUCUAUAUUUCACAGCUCUCUGCAUUAGUCUAAAAAGUCUCUUCUUUCCUUUGAAACAAUUAGCAUUCACUUUAUUAUUGCUUAUAGAAUUAUUUUGGAGGUCUUAGUUAAACACAAAUCUUCUGUUAUAACAACAAUGAAGGUCUUAAGGCAUGUGGCAGGGGUAUAUGUCAUUGAAUUUUGAAUAAAUCAAAGCUACAGUUACUGCUAAAGUUAAGCACGUCUUCCCCUUUUUUUAAUUGCAAAAAUGUAAAACAGUAAAUAGACAUUCCAAAAUAAAAUCUACUGCUAGGAAAGAGAGCUUAAAUCAUGUGCAUUUCUCGCACUAGUACUCUCAAAAGUAAAGCAGCAGCUUUUUAUUUAAAAUUAAGGAUACUAAGGAUUUCCAGUGUAACUGGGAAUUGCUUUUUCAGCUUUUGACCUGGCAGAGCAUGAAAAGCAGUUGGGUUCUGAAUGGCUGAGAUCUUCAUGUCCUGGCCUCUGCAGUAGGUAGAAAUUUACUUUGGCCAUAUAAAGCCAUUUUACUCGACUCAAAACAGUUGUAGCAUGACAGAUGAUCAAAAAUAGCCCCACUGCAGCUUAUGCUGUCAGUCAUCAUGUGUGAAAUGGCAUGGUGGAGAGGAGCCUGCACAGGGUUUAUGUUUAUUGUAGAGUAAGAUGUGGCAAACAGAUAAUGUUUCAUAACUUCACCACCUGUUAGUUUCUUGGCUUAAAUAAAACAAGUCACAAGAGUUUAAGUGGAAGCACAUGUAUCUUUCUGUCUUGUUCACGGAGGUGGCAGUGUCCUAAUGUCUUCAGAAAAUCUUAGUAAUGUCAUUUCAAGUCAACACAAACAGUCUGAUAAGCUUGAUUACUGUCUCUUCUGUUAGAAUUACUCUCUUUCAUAAGUACUGUAUGUAAAGAUUCCUUCGAUGUGCUGCAGAAGAAGUUCUUGGUGACUUCAAAUUUGGUUUUAUAUCUCUUUCCUUAAUACUUAAAAAACGUGGUGUUAUUUUUAUUAGGAUUGUACUUGGUGACCAAUACAAAAUGCUUGUGUAUGCUCAUCCAUUUUCUAUGGAGAGCUCAGGUAAUGAUGUAUAUUUAAAUGCACAGAGCCAGCUUAAGUAUGCUUCAAAUGCACUUCUGGCUAAUCACUUCAUAAAUUAGGUGAGUGUUAAAAACCCAACUUAUGGUUUUGUUUUACGUUUUCUUUCCCUUCCCAAUCCCUCCCUAUUUAUCACUCUUUUUUUUUUAAUUAUUUUUCCUUUUUCCACGCAGUAGAAAAAUAAUUUCAUUGACAUGUUGGGUUUUUAUGAUUGUGGUGUUCGUGUCUUAAACACGACAGCUGAACAUUUCUAUCUGUUAAUAUUCCUUAUACAAUCAACUGAGCUCUUUUUUUCUUAAAAAGAAAACUAAGCUGUUCUAAAGCUUAUCACUUAUUUUAAACUAUGUUUUGCUAUGAUUCCAGUUGACAGUGUCCCUUCUGAUUGAAAUGUUUCCUUGUUGACCAUUUAAGUACGUCUUAAAGUUAUUUUAAAAAUGAAACAAAAAAAAAACCCUCAAUAAACCCUUUCAAUUAGAUCUGGAAUUUGGAGAAAAGAGGACAGUUUUUAGCAUCAUGAUUUGCAUCUGUGUUUAAAGUAUUCUAAAAGGUUGGUGCAGUGUUUAGAGUUGUCUCUAAAGGUAAAGUUCAGUAUGAAAUAGUAAAUUUGCACAAGUGGUUUUUCAUGGAUUUAUAAAGAUUCAUUGGCUGGAAAGGAGAUACAUAUAUGUAGGACUUCUCCGGAAAUCCAGAUGCAAGACAGAGUUAUGAAUGUAAAAUGAGAUUUAUAUUGAGUAUAUAUAUAUAUUUAAAUCAUAUUAUAUGAUAAAAUUCAGCUAUGAGAUUAACUUGUAUGUAGAUUUGUGUGCUAAGACAAUGAUAUGACCAAUUUUCAAAACUGAAGGUCUAAAUAAAUAAGACAAGGAAGCAAGUUUUUCAAAGGAGAUGGGAAAUUGUGUAUUGAUCUGUUCAGAAUGGCUAUUUCUUAAGCUGUAAAUUUGUGGGGUUUUUGCUUUUGUUAAGCACCAGAUCUAUUUAGACUUAAUCUUAUGCCCACCUCCCAAAAAACUCUAUGCUGUAUGUCUUGCAUAGAAAUAAACAAGCUGGCACAAAACAGGACAUCAGUGACCUGAUAAUCAAACAGGUUUGACCCUUGUGUCCUUACAAAUUUUUAUAAAAGUGUGAUGCACAUGUACUUAGGAGUCACUGUUAUGGAUUUUAAUAGCAUCUAUGUAGCUUCCCUUCAAUGGUAGCUUCCCUCUUGUGACGGAGUGAGCUGCACUAUCGUUCGUUUGGAAAGUGUGAUUCUUGCUGUGUUUACCACACUUGUGAACUCUAUUUAAACUCCUUUGUCGCCUGUGUUGGUUUUUUUUUCUUAUUUUUAAUAAGGGUGACUGAGGUUGCAGAGAAAUUAAUGUGUGCUGAGUCUGCAUAGCAACUUAAGUAGGGUUGCCACAAUACACUCUCCUGCUCCCUGGAAAGUCUUUACAUGAAGUCAGGGUUCAACCAUUUUGUUGCCCUAUUGGCUAUUGUCAAAUUCAUUAUAGUGAUACUGUCAAACUGCUCAGUUACUACUAAUAAAAACAUUGCAGGAAAUAAUUUUACUAAGAGUCAAGUAGUUAAGAGAGAAGCAGGGUAAUAAAGAUGACUUACAGGUGAUUUGAAAAAUCAGUACUGCAAUUUUCCAGAUGAAAUAAUGAAGCUUAGUUCUUCAGAGUUGUCCUAAAACUGACAUCAGUAAUGCUGGCUCUUCUGAAGACUUUCAUGGCGUUAAAGACACUAUCCUGAAGCAACAUUGAACACUCUGAUUCAACUCAGCUAUAACGCUGUGCUUUGGAGCGAUGCAUCUCUUGGGGCCAGUGACCUGACAGUUGGCCCAUUGAGUCUAGUUAUUGUGGCAACCCUAUGCACAUAACAACAACUAAAUUGAGUUUGUUUUAGUUCGGAGUAUGGAUAUGACGCUUAGGCGCUGACUCGCGUACCAACUUCAACUCCCUCUCCCAUCUUU
This is an RNA transcript of Corapipo altera (White-ruffed manakin), 7219 nucleotides long. It is a transcript of the gene named RNA binding motif protein 24, with no coding region annotated. The transcript is spliced from 2 exons. Lineage: Eukaryota; Metazoa; Chordata; Aves; Passeriformes; Pipridae. The record is from RefSeq and is a predicted model, not a curated record.